UGGGUGUUCUCUGUUGCUUCAAGAGUUC
Molecule: non-coding RNA, 28 nt
Filed under: Mus musculus (house mouse)
Lineage: Eukaryota; Metazoa; Chordata; Mammalia; Rodentia; Muridae
Source: RNAcentral